RNAcentral lists this ribosomal RNA (1176 nucleotides) under Triticum aestivum (bread wheat). Its description in RNAcentral is "partial small subunit ribosomal RNA". The record is from RNAcentral. Lineage: Eukaryota; Viridiplantae; Streptophyta; Magnoliopsida; Poales; Poaceae.
AUGCCUUGCAGGUCCCAAUUCCCACACCCUCCACAUAACUUCUCAUUUUCAUUCGUUUUCAUCGAUGUAAACUGCACCACCUUCUCCAAAUCAAGCAAGAUGGAUGCCCAGGGCGCUCUCGACUCGCUCCUUGGCCGCCUCACCGCCAUCCUUGUUGACGAGGCGCAGCUGCUCGGCGGCCUCCAUGGCGAUGUGGAGUUCAUCAAGGAUGAGAUGGAAAGCAUGAACGGCCUGCUCCUCCACCUCAUCGAGGUGCACCACCGUGACCACCAGGUGCGCGCUUGGAUGAAGCAAGUCGUCGACCUCACCCGCGACUGCGAGGGCAACGUCGAGCUCUACAUCCACAGCGUUACAGACGUUGGCCACCAUGCUAGUGGCUUCCUGGGCUACUUGCGGCACAUCGUCCGCUAUGUGCGCACCAUCCCGGAGAGGCACCGGAUCGCAACGAGGAUUCGGGAGCUCAAGGUCAGGGCGCGCGAUGUAGGUGACAGGAAGCUGCGGUAUGGUGUCACCGUGCCACCGGCUGCUGACCAAGCUGACCCGAUAUUCAUGGGCGACGUACCCCAUGGAUCAAAAGAUGAAGAUGAAGAUGCUCAGAGACACUCUCUUCUUAUCAAUUGUCCAGACGAAGUGGCUUAUGUUGAGAAAAUCAUUGAUGAUAUCAUCAAGUCUUUGCUAGCUGAGGAAGAACUUGUCCAAGAUCCGGCAAACGGGGACUCACACCCGAGGAUAUUUCUUAUAAUCCCACCGAGGUAUGAUUACCUUGAUAUGGAUAUGAUUACAAAGAAACUGUAUAAGCGGAAAAUGUGCUCAUUUAGUUGCAAAGCCUUGGUCCACUACGGCAAGCAGUGCUUCUCUGAAGUCCAAGUACUGCGGGAAAUACUGCACCAAGUGGCACCCCUUCCAGCUGAACAAGACAUGCUCAAGGUGGAACUGGAGAAGAGUUCGGAAAUAUCACCCAGUAUUGAUGUGGAGGAUGAGACCAUGCAACUCAUGAAGAAACUUGAGGGGUAUCUCAAAGGUAAACGGUUCUUAAUCAUUGUUCGAGGUAUCGAUGAUAAGUAUGACUGGGAAAGCAUAGGCCCUGGUCUGUUACAUGCUACUGCUCACGGUUCUCCUGAUAGUGCUAUAGUCUUUACAAGAUAUUCUGAAGAUUUUUUCAUCGAGUCCCCUUAA